AUUUACCUGGGGGUUGACCUUCGGAAAUUGUAGACCUGGAGAGGUUAAGUCGACGAGGGACUCGUCGAUCAUUUUUUGAUGAAUAAAUUAUGGAUUUUGGGUAUGAAAUUGUGAGUUGUCUUUUACGAAGUGUUAAAUUCUUCAAGUUUUUGAUGAAAAAUUGAGGUUUGAGGGUCGGAGCUCGUCCAGGAAGUGGUUUUUCUCGUAGAAGAUGAUCCUAACUCCUGAUUUUUCAACUUUUCUUUCUCAAAAAUCGAAAUGAUAAUGAAAUUGAGGAAAAAAAACGAUUUUAAACCAAAAAAAAAUCACUUUCACCCCCAAAAAUCAAAAUUAACUCCCAAAAACUUCUCAAAUCAUUCCACACUCCCCAUCUCCACCAUCUCCAACCCCCUGACCACCACUGACGACCAUCGCGUGCCAGCCAAACUGCCUCCAGCCCACCACAUCCUCUCCCCUAUAAUUUCCCCCACAAAACCCCUGAUGAUAUCAACAAAGAACUGCUACCCAACCCCUAAAAUGACCACCCGUCGACGUAAACGUCCUACCACCGCUGGAUAAACGUUCUCAUCUAUCAUGUAGAGGUGCUAGAGCCCCCAGGUUACGCCAGACAUCCCCCAGAGUCGGCUGCCCAGUCUCUGACGAACUUUACCCCACGAAAAACUUCACUAAAAACAGAUGAACGUCGAGGCCCUGUCCCCCAACUUCCAGAUAUUCACCAGGUUCGGGGUUUGGCUCCCACCCGAGUGGUCCUCCCGUCGACGAAGACUAUUAUACAAAACGUACUCCACCUUCGUGACGAUUAUGCUGUACUCAAUGUUCAUCUUCCAAUUUAUUGGUGUGUUCGGGUCGAUUGGGAACGUCAAUGACCUGGUGGAGUCGAUCUACACGUCUGCAACAGUCGUCAACCUGGGGUGGAAGAUGUUCAACUUGUUGGAAAAACGUGGGGAUAUUGUGAGGCUGCUGGGGUUGUUGGAGACCGACGUCUGUCAGGUCCAGAGUCGUAGGGAGGAGGAGAUUCAGGAGAAGUGUAAUCAACGAAUUUGGAACCGUACGAAGUUCCUGUGUCUUUUCUUCGAGACGACGUGUGUUACCCUCAUUUUAACGUCGAUAGUGAAGAAUAUUCCGGAUCGUUCUCUCCCACUGAAGGCCUGGGUGCCAUUUAAUUACGUCGAUGGAUACUUUUACUGGCCAGUUUACCUCCACCAAGUCCUGGGGCUGAUCUACGUGGGGAUGAUUCACGCCUCCUAUGACACAUUCGUCGUCGGUGUCAUGCUGAUUCUCUGCAGUCAACUGAAGAUCCUCCAGCACAGAAAUUCUGAAAUGAAUCUCCUGAAGAAGAGAACACCUGGUGCUGUCGUUAAUCCAAAAAUCCUGGAGAAGGAAUUUGUCAUGAAUUCAGUGAAACAUCACCAGCUGUUACAACAGUUCGCUGAAACCUUCAACAACAUCAUAAUUUACGUUAUUUUUAUUCAGUACUCGGUGAGCUCGUUUGUCACGUGCGUCACAGCUUACAAAUUAGUUAAUUUAGAAGCUGGUGAUCCUGAAUUUGCAUUUACUAUUUUGUACUGCUCGAGUAUGAUAAUACAAACGUUUUUCUACUGCUGGUACGGUAACGAAGUCAUUCUGGAGAGCGCCAACAUCGGGAAUUCCCUGUACACGUCGAGAUGGUACUCCCUGGAGACAGGAACUGUGCGUGACGUGAUGAUGAUAAUGAAGAAGAUGCAGCACUCUAUGAAAUUCUCCUGCAGUCCGUUGUUCGUUCUCUCCGUGGACUCGUUCAAAAACAUCAUGAAGGUGACCUACAGCACAUUCAGCGUUCUAGCAAAAACCUAAAAUAUGGUACCCUAAAGUACUGGUGAUUCUGGUUAUUCAGACAACUGUUGUCAUCAUCGAGGUAGUUCAUCGUCUCCCUGGUGUCUUAUUACAUUCCCAUGAAAUAUGUUGACAGGUGUUGACAGGCCAUUUGGACGUGGCAAUUACAGUGAUCGGAGGGGGGAGGGGCAGGGGGGAGAGGAGAGUUCCGGAUCGUCAACCCCUCUCCCCCUUUUUUUUUUAAUUAAAGAAACAAUCGACGAAAGUUUCAAUUUCGUUUCCAAUCGAUAAUCGCAAAUAUCUCGAAAACUAUCGAAUCGAUUUUGAUGUUUGACGUCUCAAAAUACUCGUCUCCUGACACCCCACCUCGACCAAUCAAAAUACCGCAGCCCGUUAUUACAAAAUUAUCGAGAUAUUUCCCUUUUUCUGUUUUUUAGAAAAAAAAUUUUGUUAAAAUUUUCAAAAAAUCGUUCGUCAAAUUACAAUUUGACCCAAAAUUUCCUGUCAAAUUCAUGAAUUAAUUAGUAAAUCCUAAUUUCCUGACAAGUCUUCAUCCCUUCGGUUUCGUUCGCCCCGAGGAAACCCCGGAAUAAAUCCAAAACCAACAAUUUCCGUAUCGAUUCUCCCGUAUCGACUCUCCCCUCCUUCAAUUUCCUCAUUUUUUACACGAAACCCGAAGUCAACUCCACCUUCUCGACGAAGUCACGCAAGAAGAAACGAAAAUACUCACGACAACCGAGAAAUCCAGGUGCUUUCGUUCAUAAAUAAUGAGCCCAUCGAUGUGAAUACCUCACAAUCGACAGAAGAACGACAUUUCCGUCAAUUUUUUAUCAUUUUCUAUCUCAUAAACUAUUCACACAACGAUUACAUCAACAAUUUCCACGACAUCUACCUCCCCAACAUGCCGCCGACAUGCCGCCAACAUCCCGCCAACAUUUAUACUUACCUCAUCUAUCGACCGGCCACGUGGAACGUU
Molecule: RNA transcript, 2788 nt
Organism: Diachasmimorpha longicaudata
Lineage: Eukaryota; Metazoa; Arthropoda; Insecta; Hymenoptera; Braconidae
Gene name: odorant receptor 46a-like
Exons: 7
Source: RefSeq, a predicted model, not a curated record